UACGUAGGUGGCGAACGUUAUCCGGAGUGACUGGGUGUAAAGGGUCCGUAGGCGGGGAUCUAAGUCUGACGUGAAAGCGCCCGGCUCAACUGGGCGAGUGCGUUGGAAACUGGGUCUCUUGACGCACGCAGAGGUCGGCGGAAUUCCCGGUGUAGUGGUGGAAUGCGUAGAGAUCGGGAGGAACCUCGAAAGCGAAGGCAGCCGACUGGGUGAUGCGUGACGCUGAGGGACGAAAGCGUGGGGAGCGAACAGG
Molecule: ribosomal RNA, 253 nt
Filed under: uncultured bacterium
Lineage: Bacteria
Description: partial 16S ribosomal RNA
Rfam family: Bacterial small subunit ribosomal RNA
Source: RNAcentral